RNAcentral lists this ribosomal RNA (163 nucleotides) under Ludwigia inclinata. RNAcentral describes it as "5.8S ribosomal RNA". It matches the Rfam family "5.8S ribosomal RNA". From Rfam's summary of the family: 5.8S ribosomal RNA (5.8S rRNA) is a component of the large subunit of the eukaryotic ribosome. It is transcribed by RNA polymerase I as part of the 45S precursor that also contains 18S and 28S rRNA. The record is from RNAcentral. Lineage: Eukaryota; Viridiplantae; Streptophyta; Magnoliopsida; Myrtales; Onagraceae.
AAACGACUCUCGGCAACGGAUAUCUCGGCUCUCGCAUCGAUGAAGAACGUAGCGAAAUGCGAUACUUGGUGUGAAUUGCAGAAUCCCGUGAACCAUCGAGUCUUUGAACGCAAGUUGCGCCCGAAGCCAUCCGGUUGAGGGCACGUCUGCCUGGGCGUCAUUC